CACGUAGGGCGCAAGCGUUGUCCGGAAUUAUUGGGCGUAAAGAGCUCGUAGGCGGUCUGUUGCGUCCGCUGUGAAAACUCGGGGCUUAACCCCGAGCCUGCAGUGGAUACGGGCAGACUAGAGGUAGGUAGGGGAGAAUGGAAUUCCCGGUGUAGCGGUGAAAUGCGCAGAUAUCGGGAGGAACACCGGUGGCGAAGGCGGUUCUCUGGAACGUUUCUGACGCUGAGGCUCGAAAGCGUGGGGAGCAAACAGG
This 253-nucleotide ribosomal RNA is filed under the name uncultured bacterium. RNAcentral's name for it is "partial 16S ribosomal RNA". It matches the Rfam family "Bacterial small subunit ribosomal RNA", at positions 524 to 776 of the family's 1533-position model. The record is from RNAcentral.